UGCGGCCUGGUAGUUCAGUUGGCAGCUCGUCGGGCUCAUAACCCGAAGGUCGUAGGUUCAAGUCCUGCCUCCGCAACCA
Molecule: transfer RNA, 79 nt
Filed under: Clostridioides difficile
Lineage: Bacteria; Bacillati; Bacillota; Clostridia; Peptostreptococcales; Peptostreptococcaceae
Description: tRNA-Met
Rfam family: tRNA
About the family: Transfer RNA (tRNA) molecules are approximately 80 nucleotides in length. Their secondary structure includes four short double-helical elements and three loops (D, anti-codon, and T loops).
Source: RNAcentral